Gossypium raimondii (Peruvian cotton) is the source of this 136-nucleotide non-coding RNA. Lineage: Eukaryota; Viridiplantae; Streptophyta; Magnoliopsida; Malvales; Malvaceae. The record is from Rfam.
UGUUACAAUUUUCAACCAUUUCUAUCGUUAAAAACCAGCAUAGCUUAUGAAAUAACAAGAGUGGCAUGCUGCAUGUACUUUAUGCUGCCAUACGAGGACCAGUUUUUAAUUCUAGAAUUGAUGAAAUUUUUUAACA